GUAUAACUUUUUAUUUAUUUAUUCAUUCAACAUUAAAAAAGGUUUGUGAAAUAGACCUGAAGGGAAAGCCGACUUUCGCACAGCAGUCCCAACUCGAGCGAAUCAAAGGUCUACAAUACGUGCACAGUUGGAGAGAUAAAGAUGACAAGCGUGCACAUUACCUACAAGGUAGGCCAGCAACAACCUGUUCAAGUUUAUUCGAUAAUGAUCCUUCCGCAGGUUCACCUACGGAAA
This 234-nucleotide unclassified non-coding RNA is filed under the name uncultured fungus. RNAcentral describes it as "sequence contains ITS1". Lineage: Eukaryota; Fungi. The record is from RNAcentral.